UACGUAGGUGGCGAGCGUUGUCCGGAUUUACUGGGCGUAAAGAGCGCGCAGGCGGUCGUACAAGUCGAAUGUGAAAGCCCCCGGCUCAACUGGGGAGGGUCAUUCGAUACUGUUCGACUCGAAGGCAGGAGAGGGAAGUGGAAUUCCCGGUGUAGUGGUGAAAUGCGUAGAUAUCGGGAGGAACACCAGUGGCGAAGGCGACUUCCUGGCCUGUUCUUGACGCUGAGGAGCGAAAGCCAGGGGAGCAAACGGG
This 253-nucleotide ribosomal RNA is filed under the name uncultured bacterium. RNAcentral's name for it is "partial 16S ribosomal RNA". It matches the Rfam family "Bacterial small subunit ribosomal RNA", at positions 524 to 776 of the family's 1533-position model. The record is from RNAcentral.